Molecule: ribosomal RNA, 450 nt
Filed under: uncultured bacterium
Lineage: Bacteria
Description: SSU rRNA
Rfam family: Bacterial small subunit ribosomal RNA
Source: RNAcentral
AGAGCGAACGCUGGCGGCAGGCCUAACACAUGCAAGUCGAGCGCCCGUAGCAAUACGGGAGCGGCAGACGGGAUAGUAACACGUGGGAACGCGCCCUUCGGUUCGGAAUAACUCAGGGAAACUUGAGCUAAUACCGGAUACGCCCUUACGGGGAAAGAUUUAUUGCCGAAGGAACGGCCCGCGUCCGAUUAGCUAGUUGGUGAGGUAAUGGCUCACCAAGGCGACGAUCGGUAGCUGGUCUGAGAGGAUGACCAGCAUCACUGGGACUGAGACACGGCCCAGACUCCUACGGGAGGCAGCAGUGGGGAAUAUUGGACAAUGGGCGCAAGCCUGAUCCAGCCAUGCCGCGUGGAUGAUGAAGGCCUUAGGGUUGUAAAGUCCUUUUAACGGGGAAGAUAAGUGACGGUACCCGUAGAAUAAGCCCGGCUAACGUUCGUGCCAGCAGGCCGC